AUAGGAACAAUACUCUGCUUAAUUUAUACUCUGACCAGGGAAACCUUAUGGUAUCGUAUCAGAUGACACCUCUGAUGAUAACUUCAAAAUUAAUCCUUGGCAAUUUCUGAGUUAGCAGACAUUGACCAACAGGCAUAGAUCGCCAUUCCCCGCCAAAGCUAUGGAGAGCAUCCCUAGAUUCUUAGUAUGGGCCCCGAUGUAAUCAAACACCCGAUCUGUAAGGAGGCCAGAAAGGGCAAGUCGCCACGAUCCCUUGCAGUGAUGGACAAACAAUGGCCACAAAACCAGUAUGGAGCGGUCCAAGGGUUAGGUAAUCUGGAGUUUGAGGCUUGACUAAACACAAACGAAAACAAGUGGAGCUUAGGGCAGCCAGAUGAGACUGCUACAAGGCCUCUCUCAGUCAAGGAUACAUUCGUCAUCUUCAAUAUAAUCUAGCACCUGCAGUCACAUUUAGAAGGAAAGAAUAGAACUCUUUUCCAGUAAGGACGGAAGUGUAACAGAUAGGCUUCAUAUAUAGAUUAGAUUCCUAUUAGAUCUAAACUAAUCCAAACUAUGUAAGAAACCUACCCGUUACAGGAAGUACUUAGAAAAGGGCAAUCUAAGAAGACAAAUAUACUCCCUCAUUUUCUAGUUACGUGUCUUACUUUCUUUUAUCCUGUUUGGAAAAGAACGCAUCAUUUUAAUUUCAACAUUCCCAUUUGACCAUUAAUGAUGCUCUUUUGUGGGAAUGGUACUGCAGGUUUCAGACCAAAAAACGCGACAUCAAGCCCACCUUGAGUUGCAGAUGGUCAUCGUCACAGUCUGUCGGAUCUUGUGGAAGUUGCACCUUUGGCAACUAGCCUUGCAGAAACGGCUGUUGGAGCAAAUAUCAAAUCUCUUAAGUGUCAAUACAACGGCACAUCUUGCUAUUACUAUUAUACUGGGAGUUUGCUUUACAUAAAACAGACAGUGGAUUCCUCUUGGAUGACUUAGGCAGAUAAUGGGUUAUAUAUCCUUGCUCACAGCUAAAAUUCUUUGCUCACAGAUAUAUCCCACUUCUUGAUCACCUGAUGAUUUAUCACAAAUUACUGACGGUAUUUCUUGAAAGAUUUACAAAUCAGGAAUUACUUCAUGCAUUGCUUGACAUAAAACUGUUGGUCGAUUCUUCUUUGAUGGUCUAGGCAGAUGCUCGGGUGAUGUAUCUGUGCUACUCUUGAAUGAUUCUGAGCAACAGAUUUUCCAUCCUCAUCCUUAUCUUCCUGCAACGGCAAUUAUAUCCCAACACUGUCAAAUUUGUAUUUCAGAAAGCACUAAAGAAUUGACCAGUUCUGUUUCUAUAUAUAGAUAUAUUGAACAUAAGACUCUUAGCAUAAUUAUGAAACUGACGAUAACACACUUGGAAAAAACAUACACAAUAAAGGUCAGAUAGCAUUUCUCGGAACAUAACCAUAUGCAUCAGGGUUCUGAAGGCGAUAGACUUGUUGAAAUGUCACUCCAUGUAGUAUGUGCUUGUCUACCAAAGUUAAUGAACUUAAAGGCGACACCUGCAGAAAAGAAACCAUGGUUAGAAGAUAUUAGUGAUGAAAAUGAGAGUAUCCAAAGUUCGAAAAGAAUUAACCUUCAGGAAUAUUGUUAGAACCUCCAUUACGUUGGACUCAUUCGAUUUUGUCUGAAGUUUGAGAUGGCAUAGCCAGCAUCGAUAUAUUAAUAGGCACAUGAUGCCAAAUGAUGUACAACAACUCCAAAUUCUUAUCAAUGGUUGAUACCACUUCAGGUUGCCUUAGAAUUUGUCAAUGACUUCAGUAUCUGAAGAGUUUUACAUGUUUGUGAUGAUGGUAUUUCUUGAAGGAUAACUUUCAUCAUAUGGUAGAGAGGUUGCCGACCUUUUUUUUCACUUCCUUCUUUCCCAUAUAGCAGAGAGUCGGCAACUCCAAUUAUGUUUCAAAGAGACAUUUACAGUUGAAGUCGCUGGAGUCUGAUGGUAGCAAACUCGCAGUGCUAGACAAAGCAGCAGCACACAGACUAGAAGGUGAACUGAGCAUGGUGGAGGAGAUGGGGUUCUGCUUUUUGAAAGAAUGAAAGAAACUUUUACUCCGUAUUAUUUAUGCUUCAGAUUAUGAACUUUUGAAUGACAAUUCAUUAAACAUAUGUACAAC
Molecule: long non-coding RNA, 2135 nt
Filed under: Capsicum annuum
Lineage: Eukaryota; Viridiplantae; Streptophyta; Magnoliopsida; Solanales; Solanaceae
Description: long non-coding RNA (CANN_LNC010672)
Source: RNAcentral